This 468-nucleotide ribosomal RNA is filed under the name uncultured bacterium. RNAcentral describes it as "partial 16S ribosomal RNA". It matches the Rfam family "Bacterial small subunit ribosomal RNA", at positions 28 to 507 of the family's 1533-position model. The record is from RNAcentral.
GACGAACGCUGGCGGCGUGCUUAACACAUGCAAGUCGAACGGAAAGGCCCUGCUUUUGUGGGGUGCUCGAGUGGCGAACGGGUGAGUAACACGUGAGUAACCUGCCCUUGACUUUGGGAUAACUUCAGGAAACUGGGGCUAAUACCGGAUAGGAGCUCCUGCUGCAUGGUGGGGGUUGGAAAGUUUCGGCGGUUGGGGCUGGACUCGCGGCUUAUCAGCUUGUUGGUGGGGUAGUUGCUUACCAAGGCUUUGACGGGUAGCCGGCCUGAGCGGGUGACCGGCCACCUUGGGACUGCGAUACGGCCCAGACUCCUACGGGAGGCAGCAGUGGGGAAUAUUGCACAAUGGGCGGAAGCCUGAUGCAGCAACGCCGCGUGCGGGAUGACGGCCUUCGGGUUGUAAACCGCUUUCGCCUGUGACGAAGCGUGAGUGACGGUAAUGGGUAAAGAAGCACCGGCUAACUACGUG